Non-coding RNA from Mycobacterium sp. GA-1999, 369 nucleotides. The record is from Rfam. Lineage: Bacteria; Bacillati; Actinomycetota; Actinomycetes; Mycobacteriales; Mycobacteriaceae.
GGGGCUGAACGGUUUCGACUUCGCGCAUCGAAUCAAGGGAAGCGUGCCGGUGCAGGCAAGAGACCACCGUAAGCGUCGUUGCAACCAAUUAAGCGCCGAUUCCAAUCAGCGCGACUACGCUCUCGCUGCCUAAGCGACAGCUGGUCCGUCAGACCGGGGACUCCCUCGACCCGGAUCCUGGCGUCAUCUAGAGGGAUCAACCGGUGAGUCCGGUCGCGGGACUCAUCGGGACACCAAACAGCGACUGGGAUCGUCAUCCUGACUUGUUCGCGCGAUCAGGAGAUCCGAGUAGAGGCAUAGCGAACUGCGCACGGAGAAGUCUUGAGGGAAUGCCGUAGGACCCGGGUUCGAUUCCCGGCAGCUCCACUU